RNAcentral lists this long non-coding RNA (257 nucleotides) under Elaeis guineensis (African oil palm). RNAcentral's name for it is "long non-coding RNA (EGUI_LNC042053)". Lineage: Eukaryota; Viridiplantae; Streptophyta; Magnoliopsida; Arecales; Arecaceae. The record is from RNAcentral.
AGCCUUAGGCUCCACUCCAUAGUCCUUCAUGCCAACCCUGUCUUCCUUGAUUUUUAGCCAGUCAUAGGUAUAACCUUUUUCUCAUAAAUUUUGGUAUCCCAAGCCUCCAUCAGUCCCCUACAAUUCAUAAAAAUCUCACAUCUCAAAGCCUCCAAAAGUCCUCCAAAUCUUUCUCUUUUUCAGCCCUACAAACUACAACCUAAAAAUUUCAGCAAUCUUCUUCCAUCUUUCAACCUCUUUCAAACCCACUUCCCUUA